GACGAACGCUGGCGGCGUGCUUAACACAUGCAAGUCGAGGGGGUUCGUGGGGCAACUCACGGAUCACCGGCGAACGGGUGCGUAACACGUGAGCGACCUGCCGUACCUGUGGGGGAUAGCCGGCCCAACGGCCGGGUAAUACCGCAUACGCUUGUCUUGGGGCAUCCUGGGACAAAGAAAGCUCUGGGGGCAACCCUGGGGCGCAGGACGAGGGGCUCGCGGCCUAUCAGCUAGUUGGCGGGGAACGGCCCACCAAGGCGACGACGGGUAGCUGGUCUGAGAGGAUGGCCAGCCACAUUGGGACUGAGAGACGGCCCAGACUCCUACGGGAGGCAGCAGUGGGGAAUCUUGCGCAAUGGCCGAAAGGCUGACGCAGCGACGCCGCGUGUGGGAUGAAGCAUUUCGGUGUGUAAACCACUGUUGCCCGGGACGAACAGCUCUUUUCGAGGAGCCUGACGGUACCGGGUGAGGAAGCACCGGCUAACUCCGUGCCAGCCGCCGCCGUAAC
RNAcentral lists this ribosomal RNA (508 nucleotides) under uncultured bacterium. Its description in RNAcentral is "bacterial SSU rRNA". It matches the Rfam family "Bacterial small subunit ribosomal RNA", at positions 28 to 524 of the family's 1533-position model. The record is from RNAcentral.